UUCAAAGAUGAAGCAAAGCUCUGGGCUUUUAAAACUAACCUGGAUAGUUCUGUGGGAGGGAACAUGAGGAAUACUUGGUGGUGCUGUGACAGGCAUGUGACUACAAGCAGCUUUGCAUACAUAUAUGCCUGCAGUGUUGCAUGUUAAAAAGAAGUAUCACUGAGAUCAAAAGGCAGAACACAAGGAAAGGUCACUUCAAGAUGCAUGAUUUCUCAUGAUAGAAAGACAUCCCAGGUGUGGAAUUGAGAAAUGCAGCAAUCUUUGGAGCUUAGCAGAGAUCUACCACUAAAUGUAACUUCUUCAGGGAUUUACAAAGAGAAAAAUUCUUUUAGUGCAAGACUUGUGAAUUAUCCCUUUGCCACACAUGUUCUCUACAUGUGUGCCUCACACUCCAUUGGACUCUUAGUUUAAGCUCACCAUUUCCAUGGAUGCUGUUAAUAAGGAAAUGCGUGCCCUGGUUUUUUAGGGGAUCAUUUUCUACUAACUGUUCACACUAAACCAUCUGAGUAAAGACUUCUUCUAAAAGCUAAUUACAUGCAAACAUGGUAGAAUUGCAAAGAACAACUUAACCCCAAAGAAGAGACAUGAGAAGACACCUCCUCUUACUCCUUUGCACAGUGGGGGGAGGAGAUUGGUUCUCAGGUAUGGAUCACUGUAAUUAAUGUCAGAUUGUUUUGAAAUAUUAAUUGGCUUUGUUGAACACAUUUUUUUUUCUAAAACUCUUAGUUAUAAAGGAUGUACCUCUGAGAGGCAGAAGUGGAGGUACAAAG
Molecule: non-coding RNA, 770 nt
Organism: Phascolarctos cinereus (koala)
Lineage: Eukaryota; Metazoa; Chordata; Mammalia; Diprotodontia; Phascolarctidae
Source: RefSeq, a predicted model, not a curated record